RNAcentral lists this ribosomal RNA (1432 nucleotides) under uncultured organism. RNAcentral describes it as "SSU rRNA". It matches the Rfam family "Bacterial small subunit ribosomal RNA". The record is from RNAcentral.
ACACAUGCAAGUCGAGGGGCAGCAUUUCAGUUUGCUUGCAAACUGGAGAUGGCGACCGGCGCACGGGUGAGUAACACGUAUCCAACCUGCCGAUAACUCGGGGAUAGCCUUUCGAAAGAAAGAUUAAUACCCGAUGGUAUAAUCAGACCGCAUGGUCUUGUUAUUAAAGAAUUUCGGUUAUCGAUGGGGAUGCGUUCCAUUAGGCAGUUGGUGAGGUAACGGCUCACCAAACCUUCGAUGGAUAGGGGUUCUGAGAGGAAGGUCCCCCACAUUGGAACUGAGACACGGUCCAAACUCCUACGGGAGGCAGCAGUGAGGAAUAUUGGUCAAUGGGCGCAGGCCUGAACCAGCCAAGUAGCGUGAAGGAUGACUGCCCUAUGGGUUGUAAACUUCUUUUAUAUGGGAAUAAAGUUUUCCACGUGUGGAAUUUUGUAUGUACCAUAUGAAUAAGGAUCGGCUAACUCCGUGCCAGCAGCCGCGGUAAUACGGAGGAUCCGAGCGUUAUCCGGAUUUAUUGGGUUUAAAGGGAGCGUAGGUGGACAGUUAAGUCAGUUGUGAAAGUUUGCGGCUCAACCGUAAAAUUGCAGUUGAUACUGGCUGUCUUGAGUACAGUAGAGGUGGGCGGAAUUCGUGGUGUAGCGGUGAAAUGCUUAGAUAUCACGAAGAACUCCGAUUGCGAAGGCAGCUCACUGGACUGCAACUGACACUGAUGCUCGAAAGUGUGGGUAUCAAACAGGAUUAGAUACCCUGGUAGUCCACACAGUAAACGAUGAAUACUCGCUGUUUGCGAUAUACAGUAAGCGGCCAAGCGAAAGCAUUAAGUAUUCCACCUGGGGAGUACGCCGGCAACGGUGAAACUCAAAGGAAUUGACGGGGGCCCGCACAAGCGGAGGAACAUGUGGUUUAAUUCGAUGAUACGCGAGGAACCUUACCCGGGCUUAAAUUGCAUUUGAAUAUAUUGGAAACAGUAUAGCCGUAAGGCAAAUGUGAAGGUGCUGCAUGGUUGUCGUCAGCUCGUGCCGUGAGGUGUCGGCUUAAGUGCCAUAACGAGCGCAACCCUUAUCUUUAGUUACUAACAGGUCAUGCUGAGGACUCUAGAGAGACUGCCGUCGUAAGAUGUGAGGAAGGUGGGGAUGACGUCAAAUCAGCACGGCCCUUACGUCCGGGGCUACACACGUGUUACAAUGGGGGGUACAGAAGGCAGCUACCUGGUGACAGGAUGCUAAUCCCAAAAGCCUCUCUCAGUUCGGAUCGAAGUCUGCAACCCGACUUCGUGAAGCUGGAUUCGCUAGUAAUCGCGCAUCAGCCAUGGCGCGGUGAAUACGUUCCCGGGCCUUGUACACACCGCCCGUCAAGCCAUGAAAGCCGGGGGUACCUGAAGUACGUAACCGCAAGGAGCGUCCUAGGGUAAAACUGGUAAUUGGGGCUAAGA